This 74-nucleotide transfer RNA is filed under the name Candidatus Omnitrophota bacterium. RNAcentral's name for it is "tRNA-Arg". It matches the Rfam family "tRNA". Rfam says of the family: Transfer RNA (tRNA) molecules are approximately 80 nucleotides in length. Their secondary structure includes four short double-helical elements and three loops (D, anti-codon, and T loops). Lineage: Bacteria; Pseudomonadati; Candidatus Omnitrophota. The record is from RNAcentral.
GCCCCAGUAGCUCAGUAUGGAAGAGCAGCGGUUUCCUAAACCGCGUGUCCGCCGUUCGAAUCGGCGCUGGGGCA